This 340-nucleotide ribosomal RNA is filed under the name uncultured bacterium. Its description in RNAcentral is "bacterial SSU rRNA". It matches the Rfam family "Bacterial small subunit ribosomal RNA", at positions 32 to 365 of the family's 1533-position model. The record is from RNAcentral.
AAUCAACGCUGGCGGCGUGCCUCAGACAUGCAAGUCGAACGAUUAAAGCUCUCUUCGGAGAGUGUAUAGAGUGGCGCACGGGUGAGUAACACGUAAGUAAUCUACCCUCGAGUGGGGAAUAACGUCCGGAAACGGACGCUAAUACCGCAUAAUGCAGCGGCACCGCAAGGUGACAGUUGUUAAAGAUUUAUCGCUUGAGGAGGAGCUUGCGGCAGAUUAGCAGUUGGUAAGGUAAUGGCUUACCAAGGCUACGAUCUGUAACCGGUCUAAGAGGACGGUCGGUCACACUGACACUGAAUAACGGGUCAGACUCCUACGGGAGGCAGCAGUCGGGAAUUUU